This 7073-nucleotide long non-coding RNA is filed under the name Malus domestica (apple). Its description in RNAcentral is "long non-coding RNA (MDOM_LNC004068)". Lineage: Eukaryota; Viridiplantae; Streptophyta; Magnoliopsida; Rosales; Rosaceae. The record is from RNAcentral.
GGUGAAAUAAGGAAUCAAUCGGAGACCCUGCAGUUGGUCCUAUACGAUUAAUUCAAUAGCUCAAUAUCUCACUAAGCCGGAGUCACCACAGUGACCUAUACGGCCCUACUCUGCACAUCACUCGGAACUACGUAAGGUAGUCUAUACGAUGAAAGGUGUAAAAUACGCUCUAGUGCUUCUCUCAUCAUAUCAUCAGCGCGCAUAUCUAAGGUCACCCACCAGUCGGAACCCCUCUAAUGGUCUGUACGACUGGCAUGUCGGAACCCUUACAUGGUCUGUACGACAUCCACCUACUUGGAUCCAAGGCGAGCGUGCGGUGUGGUGAAUAAUAUAAGCACUAACACCUAGGGUGCAGAUUAUGAGCUCAAACAUCUCAACAACAACAAUUCAAUGAAUAAACGAACUCACCUGACUUACCUGUGCCUCCACAGCACCAUGCAACAUGUAUGCAUCAUAUAUCAAUCAUAUAACUCAUAUGAAAUUCACAUUUUCCAAAUAAUUCUAUGCAUGGCAUUUUCAAAACAUAAUUUCGCAUAAAAGCAUUUUUCUGGGAAAAACAAUAGUAUAUAGGUAAUACGAAAACAAAACUGCCCACUCACCUGGAGUUCGCCCACAACUCCCUAGCACCGUACAUCAAGGCGUCAUGACGAUUAGCGCCUAGAACAACAAUCAAAUCCAACCUCAGAAAUUCUGCCGAUAGAAUACAUAACUUAUAUAAGACACGUCACUACGUAGUUCGAUCCGGAUGAUCUGCAAUUCAGAUUUCAAAUCCGUAACUUCCAGAGGUCCACAAUAUACCUCUAGGACAACAUCCUAAAAUUUCAUUACCAUCCAACGGUCGGAUCUCCGUCAAUUUCCAAAACUAAGUGACGGUUAACAUUCUAUUUUAUGAACUUACAACUUCAAUUCCGGAAGAUCCGUAAAUCGGAUUCCCAAUCCGUAAGUUCCUAUAAUCCUCAAAUAUUACGUAUUACAACGUAUCAAAGUUUUGAUGACGAUCCAACGGUCGGAUCGUCAAUUCACAUUUUCACCUAACCACGAAAUCGUAACCAACUUAGGUUCAAUUAUUCAAUUUACGUCCAUCAAUUAUCAAAACAGAACCUAGAACCUUAAUCACAAGCUAAUAAUGACAUUGGCGGGCCAUUGGCCACGCGCCGCCGCGCGGGCCGCCGCGGGUGGCGGUUGGCCGCCCCCGGCUCGCCGGAAAAUUCAACUAUUUCCAAAAAUUACCAAAAUUUUCAGAUUUGAAGAUCUCAAUGAGUAGAACAACUUUCAUACCUGAGACCAAUGCCAAUUUGGCCUGGAAGUGCUUCAAUUUCACCAAAACCGUGAAGAACCCUAGAAUUUGGGUGUUUCCAAUUCGACCUUCAAACUUGUUCCAACGCCUCAAUUACCUCUUGGGCUUUGUUCUAGGUCCUAAAGGAAUGCUAAAGGUGUUAGUAAUUGAAAGAAAACAUUUCAAAAUUUGGAGAAUUUAAACAAAAGGGUCGCGGCACCCGUAGGGGUGUUCUUCGCGAAAUCACAACGAAAUUCAAUGAUUCUUGGGGUGAAACGUGAAGAGGGAAGGCCUAGAUGAUGAUUAGGAGUGGUACCUUGACUCAAUUCGUCGGAAAAUUGGACGAAAACGGCGAAAACCCGCCGAUUUGGAAGCUUGGGUCGCGCGGGUCAAGGGUGACCCAUUCCUCCUGUUCCCCCGUGCACCACUCUCCCUCCUUUCCCUCCUUUCCGUCCCCUGAUUGGUCAGCUUCUUCCUCUCCCUUCUUCUGGUUCACUCUCAUCUCUCUUCUUCUCCGAUUGGGCAUUUCUGCCCAGUCUCUUCUUCUUUUCUGUUUUUCUGUUUCUUCUUCUCAUACACAUACACACACCAAAAACCUUUCCCUCAUCCCAGCCAUCCAUUUCAUUCAUCAAUAAAUCUGGGCCGUCCAAUUUCAUAAAAGAAUUUCUAUAUUUUACUAAAAUUAUAAUUCCUUAAAAUUCCAAAUUUCAAACGUUAAUAACUUCUUCGAUAUAACUCCAAAUCACGAACCGUCUGCGCCCACCGCGUCCGUAACGACGAGUACUACGACGAGGAUAUGUCAAGAAAACAAAUCUUAGAUGGCACGACACAACGAUUAACCUCGAAUGAUGUGCGUGCCUCAAAGGGCAUUUUUGUAAUAUCCUUUAUUAAAACUUUAAAAAUUCUUAAAAUUAGGGACGGGCUGUCACAAUCUACCCACCUUACAGAAAUUUCGUCCUCGAAAUUUACACAAUCUUUACAAUCCAUCAAUAUCCAUGAAACAGCCCGAAACACAUCUCUCUCAUUCGAUUCUUUGACUUCUAAGUAGCUUCUUCCACUGAAAGAUUCCUGCAUAAACUUUCACCAAACUCAUAGUCUUAUUUCUCAGUACAUCAUCUUUCUAAUACAAGAUAGGCACUGGCUCCUCAUCAUACGUCAAAUCCAUAUUGACUUCCAAGGUUGAGAAGGUAUCACUCGUGAAGGAUAUGAGGUUUAAUGUCGAAGUAUCGAAACAUAAAACAUAUCAUGCCCUUUCAUCGGCUCUGGAGGCAACUCAGCCUGUACGUAACUUCACUGACUCGUUCGAUGAUCACAGAUGGUCUGACGUAUCUAGGACUUACUUGUUUUUCUUUUUAAAACAAAUCAUACCUUUCCAAGGUGAUAAUUUCAAAAUCAUUCGAUCACCUACAUAUACAUCCGGUCAGUGGCAUGUUUGUCUGCUAAGCUCUUCAGCCGAUCCUGGCCCACUUCCAGGUUAGACUUAAUUACUUGAAUAUUCCGAAUAGUCUCAUCCACUAACUCAGGGCCUUGAAUACUAUCCGUCCCCAAUUCUAACAAUUUCGAAACACAAGACAUAGCUUUCCACGGCCUUAUGGCGUUACUCUAGGGAACAAACUGAAGGGACCAACAUACCCAAGAAGUUUAACAGAUCCCAAAUCUCUUUUUCCAUAAAACAAACAAAUAAAUGUUGCGCUUGUCUGGAAAAGUUGGUGUUCUCAUACUGAAGUAACAUACGCUGACGUCACCAGUCGAUCAAUUAUUAUUCAAAUUCCAACCUAACUAUUUUGUAUACGAGGAAGCUUGUCCACGAAAUCCAUAGUAAUAUUCUCCCAUUUCCGCCGUGGAAUGGGAAAUGACUACAUUAAUCCAAAAGACUUAUUUCUUUCUGCUUUAACCUGAUGACUGAUGAUACGCCUACUAACAUACUUCGCCAUUCCUCUUUUCAUACCCGUCAAUAGUACAUGAACGAAUGGUAUGAUAAAUCUUAGUACUUUUUGGGAUGCAUUGUAGAAGUGGAAAUAAUGUACAUCGUCAAAAUUGCUUUCUUUAAUUCCACACCAUUAGGCAUAAACACUUUGUUCUUUUGCAUAGGCUUGCCAUCUGAUUCUCUAACUCUAAGGUCCUUCUUUUUCCCGUUAUUCCUUGCUUUAAAAUAAAUUCUUGAAUUUCUUCGUCAAACGCUCGAGUAUCGAGUACGAUCUACCAAAUGGGUCCAACUUAGAAAUUAGCAAGUAAGGCUUCUUCUCGAUUUUUGAUACUCAACUUUACUCCAGUAGAUUUCAAAUCCACAAGAAGAUGAACAUAGCAAGCGUACCAAGCAUUAAUUUCUCACUGGGGUCUUCCUACUAAAAUGCAUCAGCCACAACAUUAGCUUGACCACCCUCGUCACACAAUCAUAGUCACUAAGCAACUCAUUCCACCUUUGUUGCCUAAGAUUAAGAUACCUCUGAAUAAACAGAUAUUGGGUACUCUUUUGAUUUGUAACAAUCAUGCACUUUUCUUCCCAUAAAGACAAUGUCUCCAAAUCUUCAAAGCAAAGAUGAUAGCUGCUAAUUCCAAAUUAUAAUUAGGGUAAUUCAUCUUAUGAGAUCCCAAUGGCCAUGAAGCAUAGGCAAUCAUCCUACCAUGUUGCAUCAACACGCAUCCAAGUACAUUCAAAGAAGUAUUAUUAUAGACCACAUAAUUACCACUAUCGUCUGGGAGUGCGAAAACAGAUGCAUGAGUGAGGGAAUACUUUACUUGCUGAAGCUCUACUCACAAUUUUUUUUAUCCCACUCAAACUUAACCUCUUUUCUCAUCAAUCUCGCCAAGGGCGAAGCAAUAAUUAAAAUCUUGGACGAACUAUCGACAAUAUCCUGCUAAUCCGAGAAAACUCUGAACCUCAGUCACAGUUCGCAAUUGUUCCAAAUUCUCAAUCGUUGCUACUCUUUUAAGAAUCCAUUUGAAUACCUUAAGUAGAUAUAAUUAAUUUAUCCAACAUUAGCAUUUGCUAAACUUAGCAUACAUCAACGUUCCCUCAAUCUUUGCAACACCAACUUUAAAUAUCUAGCAUGCACUGCUCUAAUCUUAUCAAUCUCGUCAAUGGCAAACAAUAACAACCCGGUCCAGAUAUCACUGGAAUACUUCCUUCAGCAAACUCAUAAAAGUAGCAGGUGCAUUCGUCACUCCGUAUGGCCUCCCAACUUGAAAUGACCAUAACGAGUCCUGGAUUUAGUCUUAUGAACAUCCUCACUGUUAAUCUUCAACUAAUAUCAUUCAGACCUCAAGUCAAUCUCAGAAAGUACCCAGGCGCCUCAGAGCUGAUCAAAUAAUCAUCAAUACACAACAAUGGAUAACAGCUCUCAAUCGUUACCCGAUUCAAUUACCUAAUAUCAAUGCCUAGCCUUAAUGUCCAUUUUCUUCCUCACAAAUAAACCGGAGCUUUUCCAAUGUGAUAAUAUAAGUUGAAAUGGAACUUUUAACUCAACCUGAACCAAUCUCUAACAUAGGAUUUGUACCUAAAAAACAAUUCAAUAAUAAAACCCACAUCUCUCUGCCUGGCGGCAAUCUAGGUAAGGCAUCUGGGAAUACACCAAGAAAAUGUCUAACCAUCUUUACAUCUUCCAUACUAUUAGGAUCAACAUCAUUUAGCACCAUAUGAACUCAAUAUCUUGGCAGCCUUUUGAUAACAAUCUUCUUUGCUCUCUCAACAGGAAUAAUGGCAUAACUCACUCCACUUUACUUACCCCCAAAAGUAACCUCUGGUCAUCCAGGUCGACAAAAAUUAACUGAUUCCCCAUAGCAAUCUAGCUUGACACAAAUAUACAUUUCCUCUACCAGAGUCAUCUUGUCUCAGAAAUCUGGGAUCACUAGUAAAUCUAUCACUUCGCCUCUGACCAGUGGCAGUAAAACCUAAGCUGGGAAAAUUAGCUCUAAUUUCACCUCCUUUGAAGCUCUGAGUCCUCCGAGGUCUUUGAUAUGACGAAUCUUUAACUUUAUCGUCUUAUUCUGAUUCUCAUUCCUUUCUUAUUCCUCUUUACUCUCGCUGAUCAUAUUCUCAAAGUCUUCAAAGCCCAACAACAUCUCGUAAACUCUUGGUAAAAAGUACAAUGGAUAGUGGUCGCCAAAGAACGCAACUUCUUCUUAUUAUCCAGCCAAAAACGACAUAACACCUCGACCGAAUUAACAACAUCAGAAUGGAAACAAGGCAAGUCUGUAAACUUUCUAUAAUAUUCAUCCGUCGUCAUUUUCCUUGUCUCACAUUUGCAAUUUCUUGUUUACUACCAUCACAAUAUGCCGGGGGAAUGAACUUUUCUUAAACAAUUCUUUAACCAACUUCCAAACAGUUGUCCUUCCGAUAUCGUCGGAUAACAUUCCUAUCUCCAUCAAAAUGCAGAUUCAUCACUCAAAAACUAGGUAAAUCAUCUCGACCUACCUAUCGGGAGGAAAAUUCCCUUAACCUUGCAUAAUCUGAAACGCCUUUUCCCAAUUGAUUAAGCCAUCAAUCUGCUCCCUUAGGUCCUUCAUAUCCCUAAAGGGAUUCAAAUUUAACUUAUAACCAGUCUCAAAAGGUCCCUUUAGAUAAUAGACUGAAUCACAAUGGCAAUAGUUUCCCCCCAAACUACUAUAUCAGGGAAAUUAGGCUCAUCCGAACUACGUGGCUCGCUACGAGGCGGUAUAGUUCUGACAGAAGACACUAGGAAAUUAUCAAGAUGUCCAGAAUUGCAACCUAGGCUCUGAUACCAACUGACACACCCCGUCCCGAAGGAGGGCGUGCUGGCCGUCACGUGAGAGUGACGUAACCAUUUACACAGUUCGGAAGCUUUAAAAAAAUUUCCAAUUACUAAGAUAACACACCCGAGGGUGAGUCCUACUUUUGUGAAUUCUGUCAGAACACCGUUGGAUUCCUCGUGGCCACCAAAGCUCUGCUAACUUGAACCUGGAGGGGCGCAAAACAAAAUUGAGUGGGUCAGUAAAACAAAGUUUUUUCGAAAAACUUUUCAUUUAAAACAUUUCUAACCCCUCACCGUAAAACCUGUAUACUUUCCCAGAAAAUAGCAUAUAUAUAAACAUAUAUAUAAGCAAAACUCUCAAAUCUCAAACCUUUAACACUUUUCAGAAAUAUAUAUAUAUAUAUAUAUAUAUAUAUAUAUAUAUAUAUAUAACCAUAUGAAAUCUCAAAGCUUGAAUCCCAAAUCUUUAACAUUUUUCAAGAAAAACAUGCCAUGCCAUAAAUCAAAAUAUAAAUCAGGUGAAAUAAGGAAUCAAUCGGAGACCCUGCAGUUGGUCCUAUACGAUUAAUUCAAUAGCUCAAUAUCUCACUAAGCCGGAGUCACCACAGUGACCUAUACGGCCCUACUCUGCACAUCACUCGGAACUACGUAAGGUAGUCUAUACGAUGAAAGGUGUAAAAAUAUGCUCUAGUGCUUCUCUCAUCAUAUCAUCAGCGCGCAUAUCUAAGGUCACCCACCAGUCGGAACCCCUCUAAUGGUCUGUACGACUGGCAUGUCGGAACCCUUACAUGGUCUGUACGACAUCCACCUACUUGGAUCCAAGGCGAGCGUGCGGUGUGGUGAAUAAUAUAUAAGCACUAACACCUAGGGUGCAGAUUAUGAGCUCAAACAUCUCAACAACAACAAUUCAAUGAAUAAACGAACUCACCUGACUUACCUGUGCCUCCACAGCACCAUGCAACAUGUGUAUGCAUCAUAUAUCAAUCAUAUAACUCAUAUGAAAUUCACAUUUUCCAAAUAAUUCUAUGCAUGGCAUUUUCAAAACAUAAUUUCUCAUAAAAGCAUUUUUCUGGGAAAAACAAUAG